This 253-nucleotide ribosomal RNA is filed under the name uncultured bacterium. Its description in RNAcentral is "partial 16S ribosomal RNA". It matches the Rfam family "Bacterial small subunit ribosomal RNA", at positions 524 to 776 of the family's 1533-position model. The record is from RNAcentral.
UACGUAGGGGGCAAGCGUUGUCCGGAAUCAUUGGGCGUAAAGAGCGUGUAGGCGGCCCGGUAAGUCCGCUGUGAAAGUCCAGGGCUCAACCCUGGAAUGCCGGUGGAAACUGUCGGGCUAGAGUCCGGAAGAGGCGAGUGGAAUUCCUGGUGUAGCGGUGAAAUGCGCAGAUAUCAGGAGGAACACCAAUGGCGAAGGCAGCUCGCUGGGACGGUACUGACGCUGAGACGCGAGAGCGUGGGGAGCAAACAGG